GGUAUCAGUUAUUCUUGAAAGGCAGAUCAAGCAAGGAUUGAUCAAGUGGAUAUAUCUUCUAUUCUUGCUGAGUGCCUGGUUUAUAUUGAAGGUCAAGAUGGUUUCACUUGAAGUUUUGAAGGUGCUGGAGCGUAGGAAAUUCAAUCAUGCUUGUAGAAAAAAGCACAUUGCAAGGCAUAUUAGAUAUUACGCAUGUGUUUGUCAUGCUAUUGAGAUUAGGAAAAUAGUGGACGAUCCAAGCGAGCGCAUUCCAUGAUAAAUUAGUCAUAUACGUUUGAUUUUUGUUUUUUCUGUUUGAUAAAUUAGUCAUAGAUGAUCCUUGUAACUGAAAUUAUAUGUAUCUAAUAAGAUUAUUUCAAUUUCAGUGGACAUGUUCAAUGUUUUAUAAUUU
This is a long non-coding RNA of Panicum virgatum (switchgrass), 391 nucleotides long. RefSeq lists it as uncharacterized. The transcript is spliced from 2 exons. The record is from RefSeq and is a predicted model, not a curated record. Lineage: Eukaryota; Viridiplantae; Streptophyta; Magnoliopsida; Poales; Poaceae.